UGGCAUCUCUGUGGGCACUGCAUAAUUUGCCUUGCGUCUAUCUAUACAGUCAAAACAAGUUGACAGGUAAAAUAAAGGGUACAAAGUACAGUUAUACCUCAAGGUAUUCUCACAGCUGCACGGGAGAGGAAGAGCUACACUGUCAUAACAUUCUGGACUGUCCACUCUGCCAUGGAUAGGUGCAGGACACAUGGCUUGAUGUAAGGAAGAGGAAGCAUGUACAGCUGCUAUCUCACAGUAAAAAGCACUGAGAUUGAUGACACCCCAUCCCAGGAAUUGUAUAAUGUUCAGUAACAAGUGUUUCACAAAGAUUUAAUGAAUUGCCUGGUCUUGC
This is a long non-coding RNA of Mus caroli (Ryukyu mouse), 334 nucleotides long. RefSeq lists it as uncharacterized. Lineage: Eukaryota; Metazoa; Chordata; Mammalia; Rodentia; Muridae. The record is from RefSeq and is a predicted model, not a curated record.